CCUUUAAGUAGUUAGUAACAUCUAGCACAGCAUGAAGCUGUCCGCCAGAUCUCUUUACGCUUGAGUCACGUUUUUGCUCUCGAGAUUCUAAUUGGGAAUUUUGAGGUUCAGGACUGGUUUGUGGGGUAUCAAUUUGGGAAUUACCGAUUUGCUGUGCUAACUUUGAAAAAUUGUCAGGCGCAUGCCCGGCAUAACUCAUGAUGUUCCACUUGGCACCAGUUGCUUUGUGGACAUGUGCGUGCCAUCUGGUGGUAAAGAUAUUAGUAGUACGAUACGGGAUUUGACUAAUCAUCAAAACGGUUAUAAAGAUGUUAAACUGGCCUAACCCUUGUACAAGGUGUCCACCGGACGCACACACACACACACACACACACACACACACACACACACACACACACACACACACACACACACACACACACACACACACACACACACACACACACACACACACACACACACACACAAACACACACACCCAA
This is a long non-coding RNA of Gadus macrocephalus (Pacific cod), 482 nucleotides long. RefSeq lists it as uncharacterized. The transcript is spliced from 2 exons. The record is from RefSeq and is a predicted model, not a curated record. Lineage: Eukaryota; Metazoa; Chordata; Actinopteri; Gadiformes; Gadidae.